GUGUGUGUGUGUGUGUGUGUGUGUAUAUAUAUAACACAUAUUUAAUUUCUCUGUGAAAAUUACUGAAAAAAUCUCGCAUUUUCAUGCGCGAGUAAAUUUUGCGAGAAGUUUCAUCGUCCGUUAUAUUAAUCGUUUAACGAUAUUAAUCGCGUAUUUGUCAAGAGCUUCGUUUCAAUUUACAUGAGGAAUAUUCCAAAUAUUCGCGUUAUCAAGCGCCUCGACCGGUUAAGAGCCGUACACGUGGACGUAUCGAAAGGUAGCCGCGUUCAAUUACGAGCGUAUCUCAAUAAGAAGAUCAGGUAUACGACGGACAUCUUCAAUUACGGGCAACGUUGACGAGAUCGGAGAUACCGUGUUACACGACGGAACGUUUCCCUGGAGGAGAGAGUCCUCGGCGAUUACUUAUUGCGAACGAACGGCCAAUUAUACCCGCGUGAGUGCCAAUUCUACAGUCUCGGCUUCUUCUGCCUCUCCUUGCCGCCGCCGUCUCUACCUCCACGACAGAUACGCGUCAUCAUCGUCGACGUGAUGCACACGCCAUCCGACCUCAGAGGUCCCUUGCAAUCUCGCAAUCGCACGAAUCAUUACCGUGUUACAGACUUCCCUGACGGCGCCCAUGGGAGCGUACACUUGCUCUGAUUUUAUGUUGGAAGCGAGAAUAUAGAAGCCGGUGAGAAAAGUUACGCAGGGGACGACGCGAUGACGGCGCGUCAUCAGCGUUCUCGCAUUAAGACGUUGCUUUACGCGCCGUCGAGUUCAGCCUUGCUCGAAGCAUUACGAGUGAUUUAAUAGCGAUUGGUCGGGGAGAACGAGUGUGAUUAGCGAAAACGAGAGUGAAACUACUGAAAUUGCAUUCGUAAUGCGUACGAUGCAGCGAUGAUGCUGUGCGUUUAACGACGCUAAGGAUCUGUUCGUUACUGCUGAUUAGGAUUGUGAAAGGGUGAUGGUGUAAUUCCCAGAACUGUUUAGCGCACACGUGACCACACAAACCAAUGUGAAGGAAAAUAUAAACAGAGAAAGUGCAUCACGUUUGAAGCAGCGCAAAUGAAUAUGAUGAUGAAUUCUCUGUACGAGCGAGAGUAUAAGAAGUAGUUAAUAAAAACUUCUGUGUCUGUCAACAUUAGCAUGGAAUAAAUACAAAGUUUAAGGGCUGCACGCGCGGCAUAAAAAAUUAAUCGCACUGCUGGCGGCAAUAAAUACGAUAAUAUACAGUAUAAUAUCGUCAUUAAUAUAUCAUAACAGAGAAACAUUUAUUUAUCAGCAUAAUGUUUUAUUAUAAUGCAUUUACGAUGAUUCUACCGAUAUCCGAAUUUCAAUACGAAAAGUAAUCGACGACAAUAUAUCUCUUUUUUAAACACACUAAUGACCGAGUAUAACUUUCAGCGUCUCAAUUAAUCUAUCAUUCGCAUUCAUAUGGAUGCGAAAGUGAGUUUGGCAAGAUUCCAAAGUCUGUGCGCAAAACGACCCACACGAUACCUCGUUUCUGAUUGCAGCGUUUCGUGAGAAGAAACGAUGUGUAAGUAACCUUCUCAAAAUGAGAAGAUAACCGUUGUAGUUUAUCACAAAUAUUAUUGGUCGAAAAAUAAUAGAUUCUUAGAUCAAUUUUAAACAGUAUUCUUAUGAAACAACUUAUCUAUAUUAGAGAGCGAUAAUAUCGGGGAAAAUCGUAAAAAAAAUAAACGUGAUAGUGAGUCGGUCUAGAAAAUCUGUUCUCGAGCAGUAAUGCAAUGCAAAAGUAAAACAUAUGUAUCGUUAUUAACAGGUUAGUUAAUAUUUAUUUCCGAGUAUCACGUAUGGACCUUGGACGUUCUUGACCUUUGGAUCAUUUCGUACGUCACUUUUUGCACGGCGUGACGUAAAUCGCGUGGUCAGUUUCCUUGCGCAGAUUAUAUGAGAAAUAACGAGACUGUGUUUAAUUUAGCAACGGCUGACACGAAUAAUUUCGUACGUUAGCAUCCGUGAACGCCAACUGAGAAGAGGAUCGCGCCAAACAUUAACGCCUAACUUGUUUGCGAUUGAUUAUAUUUCGCGUGUGAUAUCGUCGAAAGCCUUGUAAACAAAGAGUGUAAAAUCUGUUUUUGACUCAGAUUUGAUUUUUCGA
Molecule: long non-coding RNA, 2101 nt
Organism: Harpegnathos saltator (Jerdon's jumping ant)
Lineage: Eukaryota; Metazoa; Arthropoda; Insecta; Hymenoptera; Formicidae
Exons: 3
Source: RefSeq, a predicted model, not a curated record